UAUUUUGAAUCCAAAAUCCCAAACAGUUCUCCCUAUGAUGCCUUUCAUAGGAUGAUCUCCUGCUCUUGCAGUUUGACAACAAGUUUAAUCAUACUGUCCAUAUUUGAUGUACUUUGAAUAAACCUUAAAAUUAGUCUCGACCUUUAGUUUCUAUCUUUUCCCUAAUAUCAUCAAUAAAUUGUUUAUGUCAUCAGUUAAUAAGUUUCCUAAUAUCAGGACAAUGGACAAAUCAUGGAUGAAAAAAAAUAGAUUGUCUGAGGAUUAUGAGUUAGGAGUCGAGUCAUUCAUUGAAUUGGGUUCCAUCAUGUAAAUGGUUCUAAGGUUAUUCGUUGUCCCUGCUUGAAAUGUGGAAAUCGUAUAGAUAAGGAUGUUGCAACCAUUAGAAAUCACUUGUACAAAUACGGUAUUGAUCAGAGCUAUAGGGUAUGGUUUUGGCAUGGUGAAGAACAUGCACUUAGAAUAGAUGAAGAUAGGUUGAAUGGUGAGUUCAAUAAGAAUCCCAAAGAUGAUAAUGAUUUGUUCGAUGUGAUUAACAUGGUUCAGAUUGUUUAAGAUGGAAUUUCACAUGUACCCGAAAUCGUUUGAAAAUAUGUUUGAUAAUGCUAAGAAACCAUUAUACCCUAGAUGUAAAAAGUUCACGAAGUUGUCAGCUUUAGUAAGAUUAUACAACCUGAAUAUUUCGUACGUGCUAAUAAGUACUUAUUAACUUGAAUUUGUAGAGAUUGUUGGACGUUGAUAGUGAUGUCUCCCACAAAGAAUAUGAUAUUUUUUCUUGACUCGAUGAGAAAUCGCCUAACAGAUGAUAUUCUUAGUGUCAUCACCAUCAUGUGGGAGCGAGGGUUGAAGGAAGCAGGGGCGAGAGUUUUUGUAAUAUGUUAGCUACAUUUUGUAGUUUGACCUUUUACGUUUACACGGUCUUCCAAGAAGAGCCUGGAGAACCAUGGCGGAUAACUACUUGGAAUAUUUAAAAGAUGACUGUUGGG
Non-coding RNA from Momordica charantia (bitter melon), 983 nucleotides. NCBI's taxonomy places the organism in Eukaryota, Viridiplantae, Streptophyta, Magnoliopsida, Cucurbitales, Cucurbitaceae. The record is from RefSeq and is a predicted model, not a curated record.